RNAcentral lists this non-coding RNA (29 nucleotides) under Mus musculus (house mouse). The record is from RNAcentral. Lineage: Eukaryota; Metazoa; Chordata; Mammalia; Rodentia; Muridae.
UAUUUGAACAUGAACUCAUUUGUAGGCUG